This 469-nucleotide ribosomal RNA is filed under the name unidentified nematode Sourhope farm. Its description in RNAcentral is "SSU rRNA". It matches the Rfam family "Eukaryotic small subunit ribosomal RNA", at positions 58 to 529 of the family's 1831-position model. Lineage: Eukaryota; Metazoa; Nematoda. The record is from RNAcentral.
UAUAAGUAUAAACGAUUUUAUCGUGAAACCGCGAACGGCUCAUUAUAACAGCUAUAAUUUACUUGAUCUUGACUUCCUACUUGGAUAACUGUGGUAAUUCUAGAGCUAAUACAUGCACCAAAGCUCCGACCUUACGGGAAGAGCGCAUCGAUUCGAACAAAACCAAGCGGCUUCGGCCGUCCGCAGUUGACUCAGAAUAACUAAGCUGAUCGCAUGGUCUUGAACCGGCGACGUGUCUUUCAAGUAUCUGCCUUAUCAACUUUCGAUGGUAGUGUAUCUGACUACCAUGGUGGUGACGGGUAACGGAGGAUAAGGGUUCGACUCCGGAGAAGGGGCCUGAGAAAUGGCCACUACGUCUAAGGAUGGCAGCAGGCGCGCAAAUUACCCACUCUCAGAAUGAGGAGGUAGUGACGAGAAAUAACGAGACCGUUCUCUACGAGGCCGGUCAUCGGAAUGGGUACAAUUUAAA